Molecule: non-coding RNA, 30 nt
Filed under: Rattus norvegicus (Norway rat)
Lineage: Eukaryota; Metazoa; Chordata; Mammalia; Rodentia; Muridae
Source: RNAcentral
AAGAAGUUAUAUAACUAAGAGGACCGGAGA